ACAGCUCGAAAGCCGCGAGGCUCACUCCGCACAGGACUAUCCAAUCCUUUCUCGUGAGCGGGCUAAGGUCUGAGCAUUCUAGUGCCCCCGCAGACAGACUCUAGCAGGGUCCGGUGUCAACACGCCGAGCGACGCACCAGAAAAACGGCGGGCACGCUCUUUGAUCCCGAAGAUCCUUCGUGUCAACGGAGGGGAGGGCACGGGCGUGUCGUGCUUUGGGAUACGUCGUGGGGACCGAGCGGGGCGGUGUGUGCGGUGUCCGUAUGGGCGCCGUCGCCGUUUCGUUCUUUAGCUCACUUCGCGGCUCGUGAAUACGCCAUUCAUUUGGUCACGAAACUCGAUUCAGACUACUCUUGGGCUGU
This 362-nucleotide RNase P RNA is filed under the name Plicaturopsis crispa FD-325 SS-3. RNAcentral describes it as "Nuclear RNase P". It matches the Rfam family "Nuclear RNase P". Rfam says of the family: Ribonuclease P (RNase P) is a ubiquitous endoribonuclease, found in archaea, bacteria and eukarya as well as chloroplasts and mitochondria. Its best characterised activity is the generation of mature 5'-ends of tRNAs by cleaving the 5'-leader elements of precursor-tRNAs. Cellular RNase Ps are ribonucleoproteins. The record is from Rfam by way of RNAcentral. Lineage: Eukaryota; Fungi; Basidiomycota; Agaricomycetes; Amylocorticiales; Amylocorticiaceae.